GGGGAAUAUUGCACAAUGGGCGCAAGCCUGAUGCAGCGACGCCGCGUGAGGGAUGACGGCCUUCGGGUUGUAAACCUCUUUCAGCAGGGAAGAAGCGAAAGUGACGGUACCUGCAGAAGAAGCACCGGCUAACUACGUGCCAGCAGCCGCGGUAAUACGUAGGGUGCGAGCGUUGUCCGGAAUUAUUGGGCGUAAAGAGCUUGUAGGCGGUUUGUCGCGUCUGCAGUGAAAAUCCGGGGCUCAACCCCGGACUUGCUGUGGGUACGGGCAGACUAGAGUGUGGUAGGGGAGACCGGAAUUCCUGGUGUAGCGGUGGAAUGCGCAGAUAUCAGGAGGAACACCGAUGGCGAAGGCAGGUCUCUGGGCCACAACUGACGCUGAGAAGCGAAAGCAUGGGGAGCGAAC
This 405-nucleotide ribosomal RNA is filed under the name uncultured bacterium. RNAcentral's name for it is "bacterial SSU rRNA". It matches the Rfam family "Bacterial small subunit ribosomal RNA", at positions 356 to 773 of the family's 1533-position model. The record is from RNAcentral.